RNAcentral lists this ribosomal RNA (381 nucleotides) under uncultured organism. RNAcentral's name for it is "partial 16S ribosomal RNA". It matches the Rfam family "Bacterial small subunit ribosomal RNA", at positions 526 to 897 of the family's 1533-position model. The record is from RNAcentral.
GGGGGGGGGCGAGCGUUGUUCGGGAAUUACUGGGCGUAAAGGGCGCGUAGGCGGUAUUGGAAGUCAUGGGGGUGAAAGUCCUCGGGCUCAACCGAGGGGAUUGCCUGUGAAACCACGGUACUGGAGUGCUGGAGAGGGAAGUGGAAUUCCCAGUGUAGCGGUGAAAUGCGUAGAUAUUGGGAGGAACAUCUGUGGCGAAGGCGGCUUCCUGGACAGACACUGACGCUGAGGCGCGAAAGCCAGGGGAGCGAACGGGAUUAGAUACCCCGGUAGUCCUGGCUGUAAACGAUGAACACUUGGUGUAGGGGGUGAUGAAAGUCCCUCUGUGCCGUAGAGAACUCGAUAAGUGUUCCGCCUGGGGAGUACGGCCGCAAAGGCUGA